This 618-nucleotide transfer RNA is filed under the name Nostoc sp. 'Peltigera malacea cyanobiont' DB3992. RNAcentral's name for it is "16S-23S ribosomal RNA intergenic spacer". The stretch from base 286 to 358 matches the Rfam family "tRNA". The record is from RNAcentral. Lineage: Bacteria; Bacillati; Cyanobacteriota; Cyanophyceae; Nostocales; Nostocaceae.
UUAGGGAGACCUACACCCCUUAGAUAUCGAAAAGCAAACAGCUAUAUAGAUACUAAGUUGGUCUAACCUAGGUCGGUCGCAGACAUUUGCAUAUUGUUGAAAGCUUUCAAACUAUGAUGAAGGUUCGAUAUGGGCUAUUAGCUCAGGUGGUUAGAGCGCACCCCUGAUAAGGGUGAGGUCCCUGGUUCGAGUCCAGGAUGGCCCACCUGAAAGUAAUUAGUAAUUGCUAAUUCGUAAUUCGUAAUUAACUACGAAUUAAGAAUUAUGAAUUACAAAUUAUAAUCUGGGGGUUUAGCUCAGUUGGUAGAGCGCCUGCUUUGCAAGCAGGAUGUCAGCGGUUCGAGUCCGCUAACCUCCACCUGAUGGCGAUUGCCAAAACAGAAAAACGAUUGAGAAAUCAGCAACAUGACUUAGUUGAAUAAAGUCAGACUGCUGAGUAAGUUCUCAGCCAGAACCUUGAAAACUGCAUAGUAACGCGAAAUUAGCAGGCAGACACAGACAUUUUUUAGUGCUGAGUGCCCAGUGCCCAGUACUGAGUGAAAUCAGUACGAAGUCACGAAGUAAGCAGAACUAAUGUAUAAGUGAUUGUGAAUGCAAUAAAAGACCAAAAAUUUGAGU